Molecule: transfer RNA, 78 nt
Filed under: Variovorax sp.
Lineage: Bacteria; Pseudomonadati; Pseudomonadota; Betaproteobacteria; Burkholderiales; Comamonadaceae
Also listed under: 1 other name
Description: tRNA-Pro
Source: RNAcentral
CCGCGCGCGGCGCGGCGUCCGCGCUCCAUCAGCUUGGGAUCGAUGCGAAAGCGCUCGGCCGCCGCGAGCCGCGCGGCC